UCCCUCAUAGCUCAGUUGGUAAAGAAUCUGCCUGCAGUGCAGGAGACCCUGGUUCAAUUCCUGGGUUGGGAA
This 72-nucleotide transfer RNA is filed under the name Bos taurus (domestic cattle). It matches the Rfam family "tRNA". Rfam says of the family: Transfer RNA (tRNA) molecules are approximately 80 nucleotides in length. Their secondary structure includes four short double-helical elements and three loops (D, anti-codon, and T loops). Lineage: Eukaryota; Metazoa; Chordata; Mammalia; Artiodactyla; Bovidae. RNAcentral also lists the same sequence under 5 other names. The record is from Rfam by way of RNAcentral.